AUGCAAGUCGAGCGGAUGAGAGGAGCUUGCUCCUCGAUUCAGCGGCGGACGGGUGAGUAAUGCCUAGGAAUCUGCCUAGUAGUGGGGGACAACGUUUCGAAAGGAACGCUAAUACCGCAUACGUCCUACGGGAGAAAGUGGGGGAUCUUCGGACCUCACGCUAUUAGAUGAGCCUAGGUCGGAUUAGCUAGUUGGUAGGGUAAAGGCCUACCAAGGCGACGAUCCGUAACUGGUCUGAGAGGAUGAUCAGUCACACUGGAACUGAGACACGGUCCAGACUCCUACGGGAGGCAGCAGUGGGGAAUAUUGGACAAUGGGCGAAAGCCUGAUCCAGCCAUGCCGCGUGUGUGAAGAAGGCCUUCGGGUCGUAAAGCACUUUAAGUUGGGAGGAAGGGCUCAUAGCGAAUACCUGUGAGUUUUGACGUUACCAACAGAAUAAGCACCGGCUAACUUCGUGCCAGCAGCCGCGGUAAUACGAAGGGUGCAAGCGUUAAUCGGAAUUACUGGGCGUAAAGCGCGCGUAGGUGGCUUGAUAAGUUGGAUGUGAAAUCCCCGGGCUCAACCUGGGAACUGCAUCCAAAACUGUCUGGCUAGAGUGCGGUAGAGGGUAGUGGAAUUUCCAGUGUAGCGGUGAAAUGCGUAGAUAUUGGAAGGAACACCAGUGGCGAAGGCGACUACCUGGAC
RNAcentral lists this ribosomal RNA (684 nucleotides) under Pseudomonas oryzihabitans. RNAcentral describes it as "bacterial SSU rRNA". It matches the Rfam family "Bacterial small subunit ribosomal RNA", at positions 55 to 734 of the family's 1533-position model. The record is from RNAcentral. Lineage: Bacteria; Pseudomonadati; Pseudomonadota; Gammaproteobacteria; Pseudomonadales; Pseudomonadaceae.